This 253-nucleotide ribosomal RNA is filed under the name uncultured bacterium. Its description in RNAcentral is "partial 16S ribosomal RNA". It matches the Rfam family "Bacterial small subunit ribosomal RNA", at positions 524 to 776 of the family's 1533-position model. The record is from RNAcentral.
UACGGAGGGAGCUAGCGUUGUUCGGAAAUACUGGGCGUAAAGCGCACGUAGGCGGCGCAGCAAGUCAGGGGUGAAAUCCCGGGGCUCAACCCCGGAACUGCCCUUGAAACUGCAGUGCUAGAAUCUUGGAGAGGCGAGUGGAAUUCCGAGUGUAGAGGUGAAAUUCGUAGAUAUUCGGAAGAACACCAGUGGCGAAGGCGACUCGCUGGACAAGUAUUGACGCUAAGGCGCGAAAGCGUGGGGAGCGAACAGG